UACGUAGGGUGCGAGCGUUAAUCGGAAUUACUGGGCGUAAAGCGUGCGCAGGCGGUUUUGUAAGCCAGAUGUGAAAUCCCCGGGCUCAACCUGGGAAUGGCAUUUGGGACUGCAAGGCUUGAGUGCGGCAGAGGAGACUGGAAUUCCUGGUGUAGCAGUGAAAUGCGCAGAUAUCAGGAAGAACACCAAUGGCGAAAGCAGCUCUCUGGGACGGUACUGACGCUGAGACGCGAAAGCGUGGGGAGCGAACAGG
This 253-nucleotide ribosomal RNA is filed under the name uncultured bacterium. RNAcentral describes it as "partial 16S ribosomal RNA". It matches the Rfam family "Bacterial small subunit ribosomal RNA", at positions 524 to 776 of the family's 1533-position model. The record is from RNAcentral.